UACGUAGGUGGCAAGCGUUGUCCGGAAUUAUUGGGCGUAAAGCGCGCGCAGGUGGUUUCUUAAGUCUGAUGUGAAAGCCCACGGCUCAACCGUGGAGGGUCAUUGGAAACUGGGGGACUUGAGUGCAGAAGAGGAGAGUGGAAUUCCACGUGUAGCGGUGAAAUGCGUAGAGAUGUGGAGGAACACCAGUGGCGAAGGCGACUCUCUGGUCUGUAACUGACGCUGAGGCGCGAAAGCGUGGGGAGCAAACAGG
Molecule: ribosomal RNA, 253 nt
Filed under: uncultured bacterium
Lineage: Bacteria
Description: partial 16S ribosomal RNA
Rfam family: Bacterial small subunit ribosomal RNA
Source: RNAcentral